UGAGGAAUAUUGGUCAAUGGGCGAGAGCCUGAACCAGCCAAGUCGCGUGAAGGAAGACAGUCCUAAGGAUUGUAAACUUCUUUUAUACGGGAAUAACGGGCGAUACGAGUAUUGCAUUGAAUGUACCGUAAGAAUAAGCAUCGGCUAACUCCGUGCCAGCAGCCGCGGUAAUAUGGAGAAUGCGAGCGUUAUCCGGAUUUAUUGGGUUUAAAGGGUGCGUAGGUUGUUCGGUAAGUCAGCGGUGAAACCUGAGCGCUCAACGUUUAGCCUGCCGUUGAAACUGCCGGGCUUGAGUUCAGUGGCGGCAGGCGGAAUUCGUGGUGUAGCGGUGAAAUGCAUAGAUAUCACGAGGAACUCCGAUUGCGAAGGCAGCUUGCCAUACUGCGACUGACACUGAAGCACGAAGGCGUAGGUAUCAAACAGG
RNAcentral lists this ribosomal RNA (424 nucleotides) under Fusobacteriota bacterium. Its description in RNAcentral is "Fusobacteria bacterium partial 16S ribosomal RNA". It matches the Rfam family "Bacterial small subunit ribosomal RNA", at positions 355 to 776 of the family's 1533-position model. The record is from RNAcentral. Lineage: Bacteria; Fusobacteriati; Fusobacteriota.